RNAcentral lists this ribosomal RNA (267 nucleotides) under uncultured bacterium. Its description in RNAcentral is "partial 16S ribosomal RNA". It matches the Rfam family "Bacterial small subunit ribosomal RNA", at positions 793 to 1055 of the family's 1533-position model. The record is from RNAcentral.
GUCCACGCCGUAAACGAUGAGUGCUAGAUGUUUCUGGUAUUGACCCCGGAGGCGUCGUAGCUAACGCGUUAAGCACUCCGCCUGGGGAGUACGGCCGCAAGGCUAAAACUCAAAGGAAUUGACGGGGGCCCCGCACAAGCGGUGGAGCAUGUGGUUCAAUUCGACGCAACGCGAAGAACCUUACCUGGGUUGGAACCCCCCGGAACUUCCAGAGAUGGAGGGGUGCCCGCAAGGGAAUCUGGUGUCCAGGUGCUGCAUGGCUGUCGU